GUAAAUAUAGCUUAAACAAAGUGUUAGAUUGUGAAUCUAAAGUUAGAGAUUAACCCCUCUUAUUUACC
Molecule: transfer RNA, 68 nt
Filed under: Hyosciurus heinrichi (montane long-nosed squirrel)
Lineage: Eukaryota; Metazoa; Chordata; Mammalia; Rodentia; Sciuridae
Description: tRNA-His
Rfam family: tRNA
About the family: Transfer RNA (tRNA) molecules are approximately 80 nucleotides in length. Their secondary structure includes four short double-helical elements and three loops (D, anti-codon, and T loops).
Source: RNAcentral